Molecule: ribosomal RNA, 466 nt
Filed under: uncultured bacterium
Lineage: Bacteria
Description: partial 16S ribosomal RNA
Rfam family: Bacterial small subunit ribosomal RNA
Source: RNAcentral
CGAACGCUGGCGGCGUGCUUAACACAUGCAAGUCGAACGGAAAGGCCCUGCUUUUGUGGGGUGCUCGAGUGGCGAACGGGUGAGUAACACGUGAGUAACCUGCCCUUGACUUUGGGAUAACUUCAGGAAACUGGGGCUAAUACCGGAUAGGAGCUCCUGCUGCAUGGUGGGGGUUGGAAAGUUUCGGCGGUUGGGGAUGGACUCGCGGCUUAUCAGCUUGUUGGUGGGGUAGUGGCUUACCAAGGCUUUGACGGGUAGCCGGCCUGAGAGGGUGACCGGCCACAUUGGGACUGAGAUACGGCCCAGACUCCUACGAGAGGCAGCAGUGGGGAAUAUUGCACAAUGGGCGGAAGCCUGAUGCAGCAACGCCGCGUGCGGGAUGACGGCCUUCGGGUUGUAAACCGCUUUCGCCUGUGACGAAGCGUGAGUGACGGUAAUGGGUAAAGAAGCACCGGCUAACUACGUG